RNAcentral lists this ribosomal RNA (253 nucleotides) under uncultured bacterium. RNAcentral describes it as "partial 16S ribosomal RNA". It matches the Rfam family "Bacterial small subunit ribosomal RNA", at positions 524 to 776 of the family's 1533-position model. The record is from RNAcentral.
UACGGAGGGGGCUAGCGUUGUUCGGAAUUACUGGGCGUAAAGCGCGCGUAGACGGACCUGCAAGUCGGGGGUGAAAGCCCGAGGCUCAACCUCGGAACUGCCUUCGAUACUGCGGGUCUCGAGUCCGGGAGAGGUGAGUGGAAUUCCUAGUGUAGAGGUGAAAUUCGUAGAUAUUAGGAAGAACACCAGUGGCGAAGGCGGCUCACUGGCCCGGUACUGACGCUGAGGUGCGAAAGCGUGGGGAGCAAACAGG